This 468-nucleotide ribosomal RNA is filed under the name uncultured bacterium. RNAcentral describes it as "bacterial SSU rRNA". It matches the Rfam family "Archaeal small subunit ribosomal RNA", at positions 869 to 1343 of the family's 1478-position model. The record is from RNAcentral.
CGGGGGAGCACCACAAGGGGUGAAGCUUGCGGUUUAAUUGGAGUCAACGCCGGAAAUCUCACCGGGAGCGACAGCAGUAUGAAAGCCAGAUUGAAGGUCUUGCUAGACGAGCUGAGAGGAGGUGCAUGGCCGUCGCCAGUUCGUGCCGUGAGGUGUCCUGUUAAGUCAGGCAACGAUCGAGACCCGCGUCCUCUGUUGCAACCAGCUUUGAGCUGGGCACACUGAGGAGACCGCCACUGAUAAAGUGGAGGAAGGAGCGGGCCACGGCAGGUCAGUAUGCCCCGAAUCUCCCGGGCCACACGCGAGCUGCAAUGGCAAGUACAAUGGGUUCCGACCUCGAAAGGGGGAGGCAAUCUCGAAAGCUUGCCGUAGUUGGAAUUGAGGGUUGAAACCCACCCUCAUGAACAUGGAAUCCCUAGUAAUCGUGUCACUAGCGCGCGGUGAAUACGUCCCUGCUCCUUGCACAAC